CCUCUGCAUCUCCUGGAGCUGUGCCUGGGCCAGGACCCAGCUCUGGCUCAGCGAGGCUCCAUCAGCUGCUGGCAGGGGACACCUGAAAUCCCAGGGCAGGAAAUUUCCGUCUGCUCCACGAGCUCCUUGCCCAGCGGCUCCACAUGGUUUCGUUUUCCUCGCAGCACCAAUAAAUCUUUAAUGCAGCAUUCCACGAACCUUCCCCAGCUGAUGAAGCACAGAGUGAUCCGGGGGGGCUGUCUGGGCCCACAUGGUGUGUGCUGUGAACAAGGACCCCCAGGAUCUUUGCAGUGAAGGGAGGAUGAAAUUUAUAUCAUCCCAGUGAACUGAUCCUCUUAUCUGCAUUGUCUGCUCAGCAUCUAAUGAACUAAUGAAAUAUGCAACAAUUCAGCUCUAGAACAGACCUCGCUUUUAAAUUAGCACUAAUUAGAGAUAAUUAUCUUGGCUGGUUUGAUGUUUCUGUGUAAUG
Long non-coding RNA from Catharus ustulatus (Swainson's thrush), 469 nucleotides. RefSeq lists it as uncharacterized. The transcript has 3 exons. The record is from RefSeq and is a predicted model, not a curated record. NCBI's taxonomy places the organism in Eukaryota, Metazoa, Chordata, Aves, Passeriformes, Turdidae.